RNAcentral lists this ribosomal RNA (1279 nucleotides) under human gut metagenome. RNAcentral describes it as "bacterial LSU rRNA". It matches the Rfam family "Bacterial large subunit ribosomal RNA", at positions 822 to 2084 of the family's 2925-position model. The record is from RNAcentral.
UGAAAGGCCAAUCAAACCGGGAGAUAGCUGGUUCUCCCCGAAAUCUAUUUAGGUAGAGCCUUGAGCGGACACCUUCGGGGGUAGAGCACUGUUUCGGCUAGGGGUCCAUCCCGGAUUACCAACCCGAUGCAAACUACGAAUACCGAAGAGUGAUACUCAGGAGACACACGGCGGGUGCUAACGUCCGUCGUGGAGAGGGAAACAACCCAGACCGCCAGCUAAGGUCCCAAAGUCUAUAUUAAGUGGGAAACGAAGUGGGAAGGCUUAGACAGCUAGGAUGUUGGCUUAGAAGCAGCCAUCAUUUAAAGAAAGCGUAAUAGCUCACUAGUCGAGUCGGCCUGCGCGGAAGAUGUAACGGGGCUCAAAUAUAGCACCGAAGCUGCGGCAUCAGACGAAAGUCUGUUGGGUAGGGGAGCGUUCUGUAAGCGGAUGAAGGUGGCUCGAGAGGGCUGCUGGACGUAUCAGAAGUGCGAAUGCUGACAUAAGUAACGAUAAAACGGGUGAAAAACCCGUUCGCCGGAAGACCAAGGGUUCCUGUCCAACGUUAAUCGGGGCAGGGUGAGUCGGCCCCUAAGGCGAGGCUGAAAAGCGUAGUCGAUGGGAAACGGGUUAAUAUUCCCGUACUUGGAUAAACUGCGAUGUGGGGACGGAGCAGGUUAGGUUAUCGCACUGUUGGAUAUGUGCGUUUAAGUUGGUAGGUGUGAAGUUUAGGCAAAUCCGGACUUCUUUAACACCGAGAGAUGAUGACGAGGCUCUACGGAGCUGAAGUAACCGAUACCACACUUCCAGGAAAAGCCACUAAGCUUCAGGUUUAUCUAAACCGUACUGAAAACCGACACAGGUGGUCAGGUAGAGAAUACUCAGGCGCUUGAGAGAACUCGGGUGAAGGAACUAGGCAAAAUAGCACCGUAACUUCGGGAGAAGGUGCGCCGGCGUAGAUUGUAGUCCCUUGCGGAUGAAGGUUGAACCGGUCGAAGAUACCAGCUGGCUGCAACUGUUUAUUAAAAACACAGCACUCUGCAAACACGAAAGUGGACGUAUAGGGUGUGAUGCCUGCCCGGUGCUGGAAGGUUAAUUGAUGGUGUAAUCGAAAGAGAAGCUCCUGAUCGAAGCCCCAGUAAACGGCGGCCGUAACUAUAACGGUCCUAAGGUAGCGAAAUUCCUUGUCGGGUAAGUUCCGACCUGCACGAAUGGCAUAAUGAUGGCCAGGCUGUCUCCACCCGAGACUCAGUGAAAUUGAAAUCGCCGUGAAGAUGCGGUGUACCCGCGGCUAGACGGA